This 426-nucleotide ribosomal RNA is filed under the name uncultured eukaryote. RNAcentral's name for it is "bacterial SSU rRNA". It matches the Rfam family "Eukaryotic small subunit ribosomal RNA", at positions 561 to 888 of the family's 1831-position model. The record is from RNAcentral.
CUGGUGCCAGCAGCCGCGGUAAUUCCAGCUCUAAUAGCGUAUAUUAAUACUGUUGCAGUUAAAACGCUCGUAGUUGAACUUAGGAUUAUUACAAGGUAUUUUACUUGAUUGUAAAAUUCUUGCUUAAUCCUUAUCUACUAGAUACUCUAUUCUGUACUUAAUUGUAUGGAAUAUCACCUAGCCAGUGGAACUUUGGUUUAAUGGUGCCUUUAUUGAUACCAGAGUGUAAAAACUUGAAGUAUUAACAAGGGAUCACACUAUUGAAUUGAAGUGGGGUUCUAGUUAAUUUACUUUGAGUAAAUUAGAGUGUUCAAAGCAGCCUCUUGGGGCUUUGAAUAGAUUUAGCAUGGGAUAAUAAAAUAGGAUUUGAUAACCUAUUUGUUGGUUUGAGUUAAUCAAAUAAUGAUUAAUAGGGACAGUUGGGGG